This 675-nucleotide ribosomal RNA is filed under the name uncultured bacterium. Its description in RNAcentral is "bacterial SSU rRNA". It matches the Rfam family "Bacterial small subunit ribosomal RNA", at positions 8 to 694 of the family's 1533-position model. The record is from RNAcentral.
AGAGUUUGACCUGGCUCAGGACGAACGCUGGCGGUGUGCUACACACAUGCAAGUCGAGCGAAUGAAGUAGGUAGCUUGCUACUUAUGGAUUUAGCGGCGGACGGGUGAGUAAUAUAUAGGAAUCUGCCUUAGAGCGGGGAACAACAGACCGAAAGGUUUGCUAAUGCCCCAUAGGUAUGCAGUCUUCGGAUUGUAUAUUAAAGGAGUAAUCCACUCUAAGAUGAGCCUGUAUCCGAUUAGCUAGUUGGCGGGGUAAAGGCCCACCAAGGCUACGAUCGGUAGUUGGUCUGAGAGGAUGAUCAGCCACAAUGGGACUGAGACACGGCCCAUACUCCUACGGGAGGCAGCAGUGGGGAAUUUUACACAAUGGGGGAAACCCUGAUGUAGCGACACCGCGUGAACGAAGAAGCCUUUUGGGGUGUAAAGUUCUGUCGGCUGGAACGAAAAAAAUGACGGUACCAGCAAAGGAAGCAUCGGCUAACUACGUGCCAGCAGCCGCGGUAAGACGUAGGAUGCAAGCGUUGUCCGGAUUUAUUGGGCGUAAAGAGUUCGUAGGCGGUUAUUUAAGUCUGAUGUUAAAUACUGUGGCCCAACCACAGAACUGCAUUGGAUACUGGAUGACUUGAGUGCGGUAGAGGCAAGUGGAAUUCCCAGUGUAGCGGUGAAAUGCGUAGA